Molecule: small nucleolar RNA, 204 nt
Filed under: Eschrichtius robustus (grey whale)
Lineage: Eukaryota; Metazoa; Chordata; Mammalia; Artiodactyla; Eschrichtiidae
Also listed under: 2 other names
Description: Small nucleolar RNA SNORA74
Rfam family: Small nucleolar RNA SNORA74
About the family: U19 belongs to the H/ACA class of snoRNAs. snoRNAs bind a number of proteins (including dyskerin, Gar1p and Nop10p in the case of the H/ACA class) to form snoRNP complexes. This class are thought to guide the sites of modification of uridines to pseudouridines by forming direct base pairing interactions with substrate RNAs. Targets may include ribosomal and spliceosomal RNAs but the exact functions of many snoRNAs, including U19, are not confirmed.
Source: Rfam by way of RNAcentral
UCCAGCAGUAGUCAGCUGUCAGGACAGAACCAUUCCUGAGACAGUGUUACACUGCUGGGAGAGCAGUGUUCUGUCUUCUUCCUCCAGUGGCCUCCGUCACUGUUCUGGUGACGUCUGGCACUGGAUGAGGGCAGCGCUGUGCUUCCUUGAGAGUGUGCUAAGCAUUCACUUUGGCUGCUUAGUUCUAGUCUGGGAGCAGACACA